This 354-nucleotide ribosomal RNA is filed under the name Clostridium botulinum. RNAcentral describes it as "partial 23S ribosomal RNA". It matches the Rfam family "Bacterial large subunit ribosomal RNA", at positions 1230 to 1586 of the family's 2925-position model. Lineage: Bacteria; Bacillati; Bacillota; Clostridia; Eubacteriales; Clostridiaceae. The record is from RNAcentral.
AGAGGAGCUUUCUGUAUGGGUUGAAGUCGUACCGUAAGGAGCGGUGGACUGUACAGAAGUGAGAAUGCUGGCAUAAGUAGCGAGAAAUAAGUGAGAAUCUUAUUGGCCGAAAACCUAAGGUUUCCUGGGGAAGGUUCGUCCGCCCAGGGUUAGUCGGGACCUAAGCCGAGGCCGAAAGGCGUAGGUGAUGGACAAUCGGUUGAUAUUCCGAUACCGCCUAUUUACGUUUGAGAAAUGGGGUGACGCAGUAGGAUAAGAUGUGCGCACUAUUGGAUGUGCGUCUAAGCACUUAGGCAUGCUUGAUAGGCAAAUCCGUCGAGCUAAGCUGAGGUGUGAUGGGGAGCCAUUUAUGGC